This is a non-coding RNA of Phrynosoma platyrhinos (Desert horned lizard), 72 nucleotides long. The record is from the annotation of a GenBank genome assembly. NCBI's taxonomy places the organism in Eukaryota, Metazoa, Chordata, Lepidosauria, Squamata, Phrynosomatidae.
ACCAGUGUGGCAUAGUGGCUUGAGCACUGGACUAUGGCUCUAGAGACCAGGGUUCGAUUCCCAGCUCAACCA